This 240-nucleotide unclassified non-coding RNA is filed under the name soil metagenome. RNAcentral describes it as "partial contains 5.8S ribosomal RNA, internal transcribed spacer 2, and large subunit ribosomal RNA". The record is from RNAcentral.
AACAAGGCGUACCUGCGGACCUGCGGAGGGAUCAUUAUCGAGUGUAACCUACCCCGUAAAAAAGGGUGGUACCUCCCGUCCUUUGCAGGCCCCCCCCUUUUGAUGGGGGGCUUUUUAAGACUUUCUGCUUCGGCGGGGUUAUUCCCGCCGGAACACCCUCCAAAAAAUCUUGAUUAAAAGCCGUUCAGUCCGAGAAUUUUUGAAAAUUAAAAAAAAACUUUUAACAACGGAUCUCAGAUC